AUGUGCAAUGCUCAAGUUUCUUUGUUACCAGGUUGGAUAUGGCUGCAUCUGGCACGGGUGGGCAAACCGCUUCCACUUCCAGUGCAUACAGUCUAUACUACCAAGCAUGCCCGAAAAGCCCCUAUUGGCAUUGAUCGCCAACAACCUCUCAAAUGGACAGUUCUCCCACUUCUACUGGAACGCCGUGUUGAUUUGAUUGUGGUGGUUGCACGCCUCUGCAGGUGGAUUCAUAGGAUUCGCAAUGGACAGAUAACGGUUGAUGGCCAAGUUGUCACUGAUCCAGAUAUGAUUCUCAGGGAGGGUUCUAAGUUGGUAUAUCAUCGCCUCGCAUGGAAGGAGCCAUUUGCACCAACAUUUGUCGCCCUUAACAAGCCUUCCGGUUUGCAAGUUCUGCCAAAAGGAAUCUUCCAGCAGCACACUGUUCUAGCACAGCUUCAGUGGAAAGAGUGGAAGAUGCCCCCAUCAAGCUGCUCUAAGAGAAAAAAUGUGCAGUUACAUCCUGUACCUGUUCAUCGAUUAGGAAGGGGCACGUCAGGUCUACUGCUUUGUGCCAAGACAAAGCUUGCCAAAGUUCAACUUGCAUCUUAUUUUGCAGAAGGUGCUGCAAAUGCAGAGAAGAAAAGGGAUGAAACUGAGGUUGGCAAAGAACGGAAAAUUUCAAAAUUCUAUCGAGCAUUAGUAACUGGUAUACUUGAACACGAUGAGGAUGUGGUUACUCAACCCAUAGGAUUGGUUCAUUACCCUGGAGUUGCAGAGGGACUUUAUGUGGCAUGUUCCUCAGGGAAGCCAGCCAUGAGCAAAGUGUGUGUUCUUGAGAGACUUGCGCACCAAAAUCAAACGCUGGUCCAGGUUGAAAUUCAUUCAGGACGGCCUCACCAAAUGCGAAUACACCUUGCAUACAUUGGAUACCCUCUUGUUGAUGAUCCUCUCUAUUGUAUUGGUGGGCAGCCUAAAUUUCAUGACCUGGAGUCUACUAGUACGGAUAUUUCUUUUGCAUAUGACGGAGGUUAUGAGAGGCCUUUACAGCCUGUUCCCGGAGACUGUGGGUAUCACUUGCAUGCUCAUUGGCUGGUCCUUUCUCAUCCAACCACGAAUAAGAUGCUGAAGAUAACCGCCCCUCUGCCGCAUAUCCUACAAACUCGAGAGGAGCGUUGCGAUCCACAAGUUGAUACUUGA
This 1176-nucleotide ribosomal RNA is filed under the name Triticum aestivum (bread wheat). Its description in RNAcentral is "partial small subunit ribosomal RNA". The record is from RNAcentral. Lineage: Eukaryota; Viridiplantae; Streptophyta; Magnoliopsida; Poales; Poaceae.